ACAACAUUACGAAAUCGAAUUGGUGUAACGUUUUCUGAAAUGUAAGAGCAAAAAAUAGCUCGAUCAGAUAAACAACUAUGGCGUCUUGAAUGUCAAUCAUAAUCCCUCCACAAUUUCAGUAGCAAUGGCGGUUUCCUUGCUGCGAAACCCCUUUUAUCCACCGUGGAUUACAUCGCUAUUACCAAGAGGCUGCUCGCCAAACUCCUACAGUUUCAAGCCCCUCAGAGUUACAUCUUUCAGCUUCUCCACCUCCGCCGCUGCCGACGAAGAAGUUGGGUCGUCGGACAUAGCCCCAAAAUGGGAAUCUAUUCGCAAGAAGAAAGUGGUUAUGCGCGUUGGCUACGUGGGGUCCGAUUACAGAGUAUUGCAAAUUCAGAGGAGUGAACCUGAUAUAUUAACCAUUGAAGGUGAACUAGAAAAAGCUAUUUUUAAAGUUGGCGGAAUUAGAGAGAGUAAUUUUGGGGAUUUGAACAAAAUUCGUUGGGCGCGAAGUAGCCGGACUGAUAAAGGGGUUCAUUCGCUGGCGACCAUGAUCGCUUUUAAAAUGGAGAUUCCAGAAUUUGCUUGGAACAAUGAUCCGAAUGGCGUUGCUCUUGCCAGAUAUGUUAACUCCCAUCUUCCCGAAAAUAUAAGAGUCUUCAGCAUCUUACCUUCACAAAGGAGUUUUGAUGCCCGAAGAGAAUGUAGCAUUCGUAAGUAUUCCUAUCUUCUCCCGGCUGAAGUUAUUGGAGUAAAAGAAAAUUGUACAGCUGAUGAAAUCGAUCGUCAUGUAUCAGAUUUUAAUAAUAUACUGAAUAUUUUUGAGGGUGACCAUCCUUUUCACAAUUAUACUGUUAGAUCUAAAUACAGAAAACGCUCUCCUCGUAGAGUUUCUGUAAAGAAUUAUCCAUCAAAGACGUCCAAGUUAUCACCUGCACAGAGUGGCUCUGACUCGGAAGGAAGUGAUGAGGAAGAUAUCAGCGAAGCUGAUGAAUCCUCCGCCACAAAUUCUGGGGAAAGGGAGCACAACUCUCUCCUCUCCAACUCAGACAGGAACGCUGAUGGAGACGAGGACACCUUGAAGGAACAUGAAAAUAUUGUUGUUCCUGUACUUGCUCGGUGGCUAGACGAACCUGAUGAGAACGACAGGAUUGGUGCAUCACAUUUCAGAAAGAUUUUCCAGUGCUGCUGUGGCGAAUUAGAGCAGUUGUCCGGUGCUAGCUUCAUUGAAAUCUCCAUCUGUGGAGAGUCAUUCAUGCUGCAUCAGAUACGCAAAAUGGUAGGGACUGCUAUAGCUGUGAAACGCGAGUUGCUGCCAAGAGACAUUCUGAGUAUAUCGUUGUCCAAGUUCUCGAGGAUCGUCUUGCCUCUUGCCCCGUCAGAAGGUCUAUUUUUGAGGAGCAAUAGCUUUGCAAUCCGAAACAGACCAGGCAAUCUAAAGAGGCCGGAGAUGAAGGCAUUGGUCGAAUCUGAGGAGAUCCUCAAAUCCGUCGAUGAUUUCUAUCGUUCGGUGAUGUUGCCUCAGAUGUCCAAGUUUUUAGACCCUUCAAACUCCCCUUGGAAAGAAUGGGUGCCGUUGUUAGAUGCAAACACCGGUAUCCCAGAGUCUCAACUGGACAAUGUGAGAGUUGCUUGGAAGUUGUGGCACGAGAAGCUCGGGAGUCAAAGGAGGAUGGCGGCCUAGCCUCGAUUUAUCGAAGUGGAUCGGCCUAUUAUUUUUACUAUCAAAGGAGUGUCCACAAUAGUCCGGAACAGUCACGCCACAGCCACAAAAAACUCUUCCGCUACAUCAUCACAACAUAAAGUGAAAAAAAAAUUAAUUUUUUUUAAAGAAGACCGCCGCGGCGGAGGUGGUGGCUCACAAUAGGCCGCCGUGGAACCUCUGAACCCACCGCCCCCUCCACACCGCAUACGCGGCUCAGCCCCACCUGCCGCGGUGCCCCUUGUCCAGCAAUAGAACGCCGCGGCGGGCCUAUUGUGGACACUCUAAGGCCAAAUCCAGCCAACUACCUGAAUAAAAAAAAAGUUAUGCCCAUGCAACCAUGAGCCACUCACUCAUCGAGCUGGGAAAGAGAAGUCUGGAGUGAGCUAGACUCCAAAGCCAAGAAGUAGCCGUUGGAGAAUCAGUUAUAACCGAUCAUAAACAGCUGGAGGGUAGUUGAGUUUAGCUCUGUUGGUAACUUCUCAUAAAUUAGCUAGAUGAAUCAGUUUGCAUUGCAAUUGUAACACGCACAAAACACACACAUUCAAGAUAGAUAGGAUAGAGGAAGUAGAGAGCGCAUCUUCUUGUAGAGUGACACCAUUUCUUUCACCCUUGUUCAAUAAACUCCUUCAAACUUCUCCG
Salvia splendens (bonfire salvia) is the source of this 2323-nucleotide RNA transcript. It is a transcript of the gene named putative tRNA pseudouridine synthase, with no coding region annotated. Lineage: Eukaryota; Viridiplantae; Streptophyta; Magnoliopsida; Lamiales; Lamiaceae. The record is from RefSeq and is a predicted model, not a curated record. The transcript is spliced from 9 exons.